GACGAACGCUGGCGGCGUGCCUAAUACAUGCAAGUCGAACGAACCGCGACUAAGUGCUUGCACUAAGUCAAGGUGAGUGGCGAACGGGUGAGUAACACGUGGGUAACCUACCUCAUAGUGGGGGAUAACAGUCGGAAACGACUGCUAAUACCGCAUAGGACAUAGGAUCACAUGAUCCAGUGAGGAAAGGUGGCGCAAGCUAUCGCUAAGAGAUGGACCCGCGGUGCAUUAGCUAGUUGGUAGGGUAAAGGCCUACCAAGGCGAUGAUGCAUAGCCGACCUGAGAGGGUGAUCGGCCACAUUGGGACUGAGACACGGCCCAAACUCCUACGGGAGGCAGCAGUAGGGAAUCUUCCGCAAUGGACGCAAGUCUGACGGAGCAACGCCGCGUGAGUGAAGAAGGUCUUCGGAUCGUAAAGCUCUGCUGUUAGAGAAGAACAGCGCAUAGAGUAACUGCUAUGCGUGUGACGGUAUCUAACCAGAAAGCCACGGCUAACUACGUG
Molecule: ribosomal RNA, 502 nt
Filed under: uncultured bacterium
Lineage: Bacteria
Description: partial 16S ribosomal RNA
Rfam family: Bacterial small subunit ribosomal RNA
Source: RNAcentral